Molecule: ribosomal RNA, 617 nt
Filed under: uncultured bacterium
Lineage: Bacteria
Description: bacterial SSU rRNA
Rfam family: Bacterial small subunit ribosomal RNA (bases 1-523)
Source: RNAcentral
CCUACGGGAGGCAGCAGUGGGGAAUAUUGGGCAAUGGAGGAAACUCUGACCCAGCGACGCCGCGUGAGGGAUGAAGGCCUUCGGGUUGUAAACCUCUUUCAGUAGGGAAGAAGCGAAAGUGACGGUACCUACAGAAGAAGCACCGGCUAACUAUGUGCCAGCAGCCGCGGUAAUACAUAGGGUGCAAGCGUUGUCCGGAAUUAUUGGGCGUAAAGAGCUCGUAGGUGGUUCGAUACGUCGGAUGUGAAAAUCAGGGGCUCAACCCCUGACCUGCAUCCGAUACGGUCGAGCUAGAGUUUGGUAGGGGAGACUGGAAUUCCUGGUGUAGCGGUGGAAUGCGCAGAUAUCAGGAGGAACACCGAUGGCGAAAGGCAGGUCUCUGGGCCAAUACUGACACUGAGGAGCGAAAGCGUGGGGAGCGAACAGGAUUAGAUACCCUGGUAGUCCACGCCGUAAACGGUGGGCGCUAGUUGUGCGAACCUUCCACGGUUUGUGCGACGCNGCUACGCAUAGUACGCCCGCCGUCGGGAGGUACGAGUCGCGAAGAAGUUAAACGUAACGUAAAGGUAAGUUAGUUACGGCGUGAGACGUGCCGACGGCGACGACGAGGGAGGAGG